RNAcentral lists this long non-coding RNA (508 nucleotides) under Homo sapiens (human). Its description in RNAcentral is "long non-coding RNA NONHSAT153880". The record is from RNAcentral. Lineage: Eukaryota; Metazoa; Chordata; Mammalia; Primates; Hominidae.
GCAGAAGAUUGCAACCUCCCAUUAUGAAACAGCAUCAUAAAAUGCAGAGCACAGCUACCCUGACUAAAACCACCUUUCUCCUCUGCUGAUACAGACAAACUAGCAGUAAAUGCUUUUUGAGCUCCCGGCGUGCAGAUAAAUUCCUACGGACAUCCCCAAUUGGACUGAAAGAUUGAGACACACAAGGGAGAGAAUAGCUGAGGCCAGGAGAAUUUAACAUGGCAAUUAGCAACCCUUCAACUUUGCCAGACCCCACAGCACAAGACAGGAUGGAGGUAACCAAAAAUCUCUCCAGAAGAGUAGUUGAUAAAUUGAUUGGGUCCCAGGGGUUGCUGGACACAGUUAUUAUCCAAUUGCAGGCCUGGAUGGUGUGCAAGUCUAUGUAGUGAAGUCAGAAAAUGAAACAGGGCUUUAAAUUCCCAAGGGGAGCUCCUUUGCUUAUGUAUCCAUUGCUGCACCCUUUCCCCUCAUUUUGGAAGACUCUGAAUCACAUCACAUAGUGUGUAUU